CAACAAUCUUUCUUACCAACUCUAGUUCAUACCAAAAUCAAAAUUUAUAUGCUUCUUCAAACCUUCAACAACACCUUCAAAAACCACCAACAAAUCUCACAACAACUCAACCAAAACCAAUGAAUAAGAGAGACUUCACCGUCCGCACUGCGAUUAGGAUUCACGUUCACAACUCCGACCAGUCACUACUGUAAGCUGCCGCCGAAGCCAACACCCAAGGGUUGGUAUGUUGCAACUCAAGAAAUGUUGGCAGUAGGAUUCUUGAUAAACCUGCUGCACUGCCCGAGCACAAGAUAGAUCAGGCUCCCAAAAUACCUCUUCAGAAAAGGGUUUGUCAGAAGAGCGACUACAAAACAUGUCCACAGGGCAGCAAUUAGAGAAUACUAUGUAGUCCAAGGGGCAACAAUUAGAUAAUACUAUAGGUGAUGGAAGUGAGUGAAGAUUAGCCGCUGUGAGUCGAGUCGGUUGUCACUCUGAUACGUAGCACUCGGGGGGACAAACACAUGUUUUUAUUUAUUGUUGCUUUGAUGAAUUUUUAGUGAUGUUUUGCUAUUGAAUUGUAACUUAAAGUUGUUUUGUGAAGAUGCUAUGAUGUUAACUUAAUUUCGGAAAGUUUUGUGAAU
Long non-coding RNA from Vicia villosa (hairy vetch), 623 nucleotides. RefSeq lists it as uncharacterized. The record is from RefSeq and is a predicted model, not a curated record. The transcript is spliced from 3 exons. Lineage: Eukaryota; Viridiplantae; Streptophyta; Magnoliopsida; Fabales; Fabaceae.